UCGCGCUCCUCGGAGUUGCGCUUUCAUCAUCUUCCGUCUCUCUCCCGAAGUUCCUAGAACAUCGGCUGGAUUCUUACUCUUCAUAGCCUAAUAGAUAUGCGCUCUCCCUCUCUACCUUUUUGACGUUCGACUUUCUACAACAACUUUUCUCGACACAUUUGGCUGGAUGGCUAGCCUCUCAGAGUGCUCUCUCUGAAGGUGCUCUCUGGAGAUUCUCUCGCCAUCAGCAACAAUAAUGGACUGCGGCAGCUGUAGUACGUUCUCGCUCGUUUCUACCAGGAGUGGUUUCACCUGCGUGCAGUUAUAUUUUGAAUGCUAAUAUUGACACCCACCUAAUAUUUGGAGCGACGAUCACCAGCCUAUUCGUAUCCGUACUACUACUUUACUGAAGGUGUUUGCAAAUAAUUUUAGUAUUAUUCGGGCCAUGAUGCUGCAACAAUACAAAUUUCAAUAUUUAUUAUCAAAACGUCGGUGGUAUGCGUACGAAAGCUCAAUCCAUUUUCCAGGCAACGUCCCAUGGUGAUCACGACGUCAUCAUUUUUGUUGAAACAUGGCUCAACAUGGAUUUUUUUGAUAAUGAAUUCUUCGAUACAAAUCUUUAUCAUGUGUUCCGUAAAGAUCGAGAUUCCUUUAAAACACGAUGCUCCAGAGGUAACGGCGUUUUAUUUGCGGCGCGGCGUGAUCUGCGUUGCACUGCUAUUCGUCUCCAGAACGAGGAUUCUCUGCUCGAUCAAUUUUCUGUAUCUCUCGCUGGUCCUACGGAGACAAUUUACCUGACAGUAUCAUACACACCCCCAAGCAGCAGUUUUGAUUUAUAUAAAGCGCAUGUGGACAACAUUGCCCACCUAUACCAGGAGCUGGAAGAUGGCCAGUAUAUAUGUGUUUUGGGCGACUUCAACCUAUCUUCGCUCGUGUGGGCUCAUGAUGUUGAGUCUUCAGCAAUGCUUCCCAGUAAUUUGCAUUUUCCCCACGAAAUCUUAGUCAUUGAUGAGCUUCUUAUGCAGAUACGCUAAAACUAGAGUUCAAAGUUCUUAUAGAAAUAAAUAAAUUCCAGAAAUAAAUUCCAUAAGCGCUACAUAGAAUGCGGUGAUGCUGCUGACUUUGGUCGUUACAAGCAACAUAAGCGUGAGUUUGAGUUCCUUAAUAAAUUCUUAUACAGCCAAUAUAUUGCUGAUAUAGAGCGUAAAUUAAUAACCAAUAAUAAAUCAUUCUGGCACUUUGUCAAUUACUUUCCUUCCUUACUUUCCUUCCCAUAUGUCAUUUAAAAGUCUUUCAGCUUGCUCGGAUAUUUGAGUCGCUAAUCAAUUUUCUAAGUACUUUGCAUCUAACUUUGAACCGCGCUCACUGUGGAAUGACGAUGAUUCACUCAGUGCCAUUGCCACGAUGCUAAAUAUUGGGUGCUUAGAUGUCACUGAUUCUUAUUGCUGUAUGGCGCCUGAGAGUUUUAAGGAUUCAGGAAAAUUAAACUGCGAUGGCCUUUCUCUUUGUAGCUAAGCAGAUAACUUUUCUUGCUGGCAGGAUCAUCAGUCCUAAUCAACAUGGUUCUAUGCCUGGUCGGUCAACUAUCACUAACUUACUAACUUACUAACUAACUGUUUGCGGACGAUCUUAAAAUAUUUAGGUCUGUGAAUUUAAUCUCCGAUAGUGAACUUCUUCAAAAUGACCUAGUAAGAGUGGGAAAUUGGUGUUCUCGUAAUAAGUUGCAUCUGAAUUUGUCAAAAUGUUUCUUUGUUAGGUACAGCAAAAUAUUAAUUAAUGUCCUUUGCUCGUAUUCCAUUAGUUCCAAUAUUCUUUCCUUAAGAAAUCUAGGACUUAUUUUGAUACCAAAUUUACGUUCAUUGAUCACAUAAAUUACAUAAUUUCAAAGGCAUACGCAAUGUAUGGGUUUGUAAAACGAAACUUCACGCAAUUUAAAGAUCCGUACUCUUAACUAAGCCUAUUUUCUUCGUUCAUUAGGUCCAGAUUGGAAUAUGCCUCGUUUGUCUGGAGUCCCACUGGUACUACACACAUCAAUCGUAUUGAGCGUGUUCAAAAAAAAAAUCCUACCUUUUGCCCUUCUUUCUCUAAACUUUAAUGACCCGUUCUCCUAUUACUCAGGAAAAUGUCGUCUUAUGCACCUCUCUUCCCUACAAGAUCGUAGGACAACUAGCGCACUAGUUUUAUUUGUGACCUGCUGUCCUCCAAAAUAGACUGCCCUGCAUUGCAGAGCAGCAUAAGCUUUUCCGUGCCUGGAAGCACAUUUUGGAAAAUAAAAAGAGUGAUACCGUAACCUGGAUGGAGAAAGCAGGUGCCUGGAAACGUUUUGCUGAGAAAUUCGCUGCCCAAUCUGGAAUAGAACGGACGUGAAAAAAUUUGAGGGACAAAUAUGACCACCUAAAAAAAAGAACCCGAAGUGAAUUUGCUGCCGAGAAACUUGAAAGACACCGCACUGGUGGAGGAGUCGCACCCUCCACUUCUGUUUCCCCAAUCUCCGAAAGGAUAGGCAGCAUUAUCCCAACUUCCGCCACUGGUCCGCAAUAUAUAUUGUUCGAUCGACGACAAGGAUAAAGAACCACCUAGUUUGAACGCCGCUAACAAUAACUGCAGCUUAUACGAUACCAGUGUACUACAGGAAGAUCCCGUGCUACUAAAGGAUAUGCCGCGUAAGGAAGUGGGGUUUCAAGGAUAGAAUCAAACAAAGCUAAAGAAUAAGAAGUCGCAGGAACUGUGUGACUCUCGAAAGAGAGGAGCAGAAGAAGACAGUUUUACUUAAGCUUCAGCAAGAAUACUAUAGGACUGAAAACGAGCGACCUGCAGAGAAACACUCCAGUGUGUGAAAAGUGGAAAAGCAACUGGCUGACCUCCGAAACAUAAACUUAAAAAUCGAUCUGCUUGAAAUGGAGACAGAACAGAAAAAAGUCAGGAAGAUAUUCAAGUUUGGUGAUUAAUAUUUUAUCUUUAUAUUUUACUAAUGCUGAUACUUAGUGAUACUGAAAUCCGAAA
Non-coding RNA from Drosophila suzukii, 2982 nucleotides. NCBI's taxonomy places the organism in Eukaryota, Metazoa, Arthropoda, Insecta, Diptera, Drosophilidae. The record is from RefSeq and is a predicted model, not a curated record.